RNAcentral lists this ribosomal RNA (497 nucleotides) under uncultured bacterium. Its description in RNAcentral is "partial 16S ribosomal RNA". It matches the Rfam family "Bacterial small subunit ribosomal RNA", at positions 28 to 507 of the family's 1533-position model. The record is from RNAcentral.
GAUGAACGCUGGCGGCGUGCCUAAUACAUGCAAGUCGAGCGAACGGACGAGAAGCUUGCUUCUCUGAUGUUAGCGGCGGACGGGUGAGUAACACGAGGAUAACCUACCUAUAAGACUGGGAUAACUUCGGGAAACCGGAGCUAGUACCGGAUAAUAUUUUGAACCGCAUGGUUCAAAAGUGAAAGACGGUCUUGCUGUCACUUAUAGGUGGAUCCGCGCUGCAUUAGCUAGUUGGUAAGGUAACGGCUUACCAAGGCAACGAUGCAUAGCCGACCUGAGAGGGUGAUCGGCCACACUGGAACUGAGACACGGUCCAGACUCCUACGGGAGGCAGCAGUAGGGAAUCUUCCGCAAUGGGCGAAAGCCUGACGGAGCAACGCCGCGUGAGUGAUGAAGGUCUUCGGAUCGUAAAACUCUGUUAUUAGGGAAGAACAUAUGUGUAAGUAACUGUGCACAUCUUGACGGUACCUAAUCAGAAAGCCACGGCUAACUACGUG